RNAcentral lists this ribosomal RNA (2901 nucleotides) under Escherichia coli. Its description in RNAcentral is "bacterial LSU rRNA". It matches the Rfam family "Bacterial large subunit ribosomal RNA". Lineage: Bacteria; Pseudomonadati; Pseudomonadota; Gammaproteobacteria; Enterobacterales; Enterobacteriaceae. The record is from RNAcentral.
UUAAGCGACUAAGCGUACACGGUGGAUGCCCUGGCAGUCAGAGGCGAUGAAGGACGUGCUAAUCUGCGAUAAGCGUCGGUAAGGUGAUAUGAACCGUUAUAACCGGCGAUUUCCGAAUGGGGAAACCCAGUGUGUUUCGACACACUAUCAUUAACUGAAUCCAUAGGUUAAUGAGGCGAACCGGGGGAACUGAAACAUCUAAGUACCCCGAGGAAAAGAAAUCAACCGAGAUUCCCCCAGUAGCGGCGAGCGAACGGGGAGGAGCCCAGAGCCUGAAUCAGUGUGUGUGUUAGUGGAAGCGUCUGGAAAGGCGCGCGAUACAGGGUGACAGCCCCGUACACAAAAAUGCACAUACUGUGAGCUCGAUGAGUAGGGCGGGACACGUGGUAUCCUGUCUGAAUAUGGGGGGACCAUCCUCCAAGGCUAAAUACUCCUGACUGACCGAUAGUGAACCAGUACCGUGAGGGAAAGGCGAAAAGAACCCCGGCGAGGGGAGUGAAAAAGAACCUGAAACCGUGUACGUACAAGCAGUGGGAGCACGCUUAGGCGUGUGACUGCGUACCUUUUGUAUAAUGGGUCAGCGACUUAUAUUCUGUAGCAAGGUUAACCGAAUAGGGGAGCCGAAGGGAAACCGAGUCUUAACUGGGCGUUAAGUUGCAGGGUAUAGACCCGAAACCCGGUGAUCUAGCCAUGGGCAGGUUGAAGGUUGGGUAACACUAACUGGAGGACCGAACCGACUAAUGUUGAAAAAUUAGCGGAUGACUUGUGGCUGGGGGUGAAAGGCCAAUCAAACCGGGAGAUAGCUGGUUCUCCCCGAAAGCUAUUUAGGUAGCGCCUCGUGAAUUCAUCUCCGGGGGUAGAGCACUGUUUCGGCAAGGGGGUCAUCCCGACUUACCAACCCGAUGCAAACUGCGAAUACCGGAGAAUGUUAUCACGGGAGACACACGGCGGGUGCUAACGUCCGUCGUGAAGAGGGAAACAACCCAGACCGCCAGCUAAGGUCCCAAAGUCAUGGUUAAGUGGGAAACGAUGUGGGAAGGCCCAGACAGCCAGGAUGUUGGCUUAGAAGCAGCCAUCAUUUAAAGAAAGCGUAAUAGCUCACUGGUCGAGUCGGCCUGCGCGGAAGAUGUAACGGGGCUAAACCAUGCACCGAAGCUGCGGCAGCGACACUAUGUGUUGUUGGGUAGGGGAGCGUUCUGUAAGCCUGUGAAGGUGUGCUGUGAGGCAUGCUGGAGGUAUCAGAAGUGCGAAUGCUGACAUAAGUAACGAUAAAGCGGGUGAAAAGCCCGCUCGCCGGAAGACCAAGGGUUCCUGUCCAACGUUAAUCGGGGCAGGGUGAGUCGACCCCUAAGGCGAGGCCGAAAGGCGUAGUCGAUGGGAAACAGGUUAAUAUUCCUGUACUUGGUGUUACUGCGAAGGGGGGACGGAGAAGGCUAUGUUGGCCGGGCGACGGUUGUCCCGGUUUAAGCGUGUAGGCUGGUUUUCCAGGCAAAUCCGGAAAAUCAAGGCUGAGGCGUGAUGACGAGGCACUACGGUGCUGAAGCAACAAAUGCCCUGCUUCCAGGAAAAGCCUCUAAGCAUCAGGUAACAUCAAAUCGUACCCCAAACCGACACAGGUGGUCAGGUAGAGAAUACCAAGGCGCUUGAGAGAACUCGGGUGAAGGAACUAGGCAAAAUGGUGCCGUAACUUCGGGAGAAGGCACGCUGAUAUGUAGGUGAAGUCCCUUGCGGAUGGAGCUGAAAUCAGUCGAAGAUACCAGCUGGCUGCAACUGUUUAUUAAAAACACAGCACUGUGCAAACACGAAAGUGGACGUAUACGGUGUGACGCCUGCCCGGUGCCGGAAGGUUAAUUGAUGGGGUCAGCGCAAGCGAAGCUCUUGAUCGAAGCCCCGGUAAACGGCGGCCGUAACUAUAACGGUCCUAAGGUAGCGAAAUUCCUUGUCGGGUAAGUUCCGACCUGCACGAAUGGCGUAAUGAUGGCCAGGCUGUCUCCACCCGAGACUCAGUGAAAUUGAACUCGCUGUGAAGAUGCAGUGUACCCGCGGCAAGACGGAAAGACCCCGUGAACCUUUACUAUAGCUUGACACUGAACAUUGAGCCUUGAUGUGUAGGAUAGGUGGGAGGCUUUGAAGUGUGGACGCCAGUCUGCAUGGAGCCGACCUUGAAAUACCACCCUUUAAUGUUUGAUGUUCUAACGUUGACCCGUAAUCCGGGUUGCGGACAGUGUCUGGUGGGUAGUUUGACUGGGGCGGUCUCCUCCUAAAGAGUAACGGAGGAGCACGAAGGUUGGCUAAUCCUGGUCGGACAUCAGGAGGUUAGUGCAAUGGCAUAAGCCAGCUUGACUGCGAGCGUGACGGCGCGAGCAGGUGCGAAAGCAGGUCAUAGUGAUCCGGUGGUUCUGAAUGGAAGGGCCAUCGCUCAACGGAUAAAAGGUACUCCGGGGAUAACAGGCUGAUACCGCCCAAGAGUUCAUAUCGACGGCGGUGUUUGGCACCUCGAUGUCGGCUCAUCACAUCCUGGGGCUGAAGUAGGUCCCAAGGGUAUGGCUGUUCGCCAUUUAAAGUGGUACGCGAGCUGGGUUUAGAACGUCGUGAGACAGUUCGGUCCCUAUCUGCCGUGGGCGCUGGAGAACUGAGGGGGGCUGCUCCUAGUACGAGAGGACCGGAGUGGACGCAUCACUGGUGUUCGGGUUGUCAUGCCAAUGGCACUGCCCGGUAGCUAAAUGCGGAAGAGAUAAGUGCUGAAAGCAUCUAAGCACGAAACUUGCCCCGAGAUGAGUUCUCCCUGACCCUUUAAGGGUCCUGAAGGAACGUUGAAGACGACGACGUUGAUAGGCCGGGUGUGUAAGCGCAGCGAUGCGUUGAGCUAACCGGUACUAAUGAACCGUGAGGCUUAACCUU